This 253-nucleotide ribosomal RNA is filed under the name uncultured bacterium. Its description in RNAcentral is "partial 16S ribosomal RNA". It matches the Rfam family "Bacterial small subunit ribosomal RNA", at positions 524 to 776 of the family's 1533-position model. The record is from RNAcentral.
UACGAAGGGGGCUAGCGUUGCUCGGAAUCACUGGGCGUAAAGCGCACGUAGGCGGCUUUCUAAGUCAGGGGUGAAAUCCUGGAGCUCAACUCCAGAACUGCCUUUGAUACUGGAAAGCUUGAGUUCGGGAGAGGUGAGUGGAACUGCGAGUGUAGAGGUGAAAUUCGUAGAUAUUCGGAAGAACACCAGUGGCGAAGGCGACUUACUGGACAAAUACUGACGCUGAGGUGCGAAAGCGUGGGGAGCAAACAGG